RNAcentral lists this ribosomal RNA (253 nucleotides) under uncultured bacterium. RNAcentral's name for it is "partial 16S ribosomal RNA". It matches the Rfam family "Bacterial small subunit ribosomal RNA", at positions 524 to 776 of the family's 1533-position model. The record is from RNAcentral.
UACGUAGGGGGCGAGCGUUGUCCGGAAUCACUGGGCGUAAAGGGCGCGUAGGCGGCGCGGGUAGUCAACGGUGAAAGCUUGGGGCUCAACCCCGAGUCGGCCGUCGAUACUCCCGCGCUCGAGCACUGUAGAGGCAGGUGGAAUUCCGGGUGUAGCGGUGGAAUGCGUAGAGAUCCGGAAGAACACCGGUGGCGAAGGCGGCCUGCUGGGCAGUAGCUGACGCUGAGGCGCGACAGCGUGGGGAGCGAACAGG